Molecule: ribosomal RNA, 116 nt
Filed under: Pteropus alecto (black flying fox)
Lineage: Eukaryota; Metazoa; Chordata; Mammalia; Chiroptera; Pteropodidae
Source: RNAcentral
GUCUACAGCCAUGCCACCCUGAACAAGCCCGAUGUCUGAUCUCAGAAGCUAAGCAGGGACAGGCAUGGUUAGUACUUGGAUGGGAGACCACCUAGGAAGACCAGGUACUGUAGGCA